AUACCUUUCUCGGCCUUUUGGCUAAGAUCAAGUGUAGUAUCUGUUCUUAUCAGUUUAAUAUCUGAUAUGUGGGUCAUGUGCCCACAACGAUAUUAAAUUUAUUUUUUUUGAGGGGAGGGUCCACAACACUAGCUUGCUAGUGGGGCCUUCAUGUGUCGCUUGGGCAUUGCACUAUUGCCCAAGCAGGCGCACCCCAA
Molecule: small nuclear RNA, 197 nt
Filed under: Aegilops tauschii subsp. strangulata
Lineage: Eukaryota; Viridiplantae; Streptophyta; Magnoliopsida; Poales; Poaceae
Description: snRNA U2
Rfam family: U2 spliceosomal RNA
About the family: U2 is a small nuclear RNA (snRNA) component of the spliceosome (involved in pre-mRNA splicing). Complementary binding between U2 snRNA (in an area lying towards the 5' end but 3' to hairpin I) and the branchpoint sequence (BPS) of the intron results the bulging out of an unpaired adenosine, on the BPS, which initiates a nucleophilic attack at the intronic 5' splice site, thus starting the first of two transesterification reactions that mediate splicing.
Source: Rfam by way of RNAcentral